AUAAUUAAAACCAGAAUCCUCCUAGAAGGGCUAAGCAGCUGGGGAAUUUUUACAUUCUAUUGCACAUUCUAGAACAAGUACUGCAACUAACAAGCUUAAGACUCAGGAAUCAGGUAGAAUUCCUAACCUUGUAUAACACUGUAACCCUGUCUUCACUUGACCCUUCCAUCUUAACAUUAACCCUUUCCUUGCACUGUAUAGCAGCAUCCCCAGCACGGUUUGUUCUGCC
Non-coding RNA from Pelobates cultripes (western spadefoot toad), 229 nucleotides. NCBI's taxonomy places the organism in Eukaryota, Metazoa, Chordata, Amphibia, Anura, Pelobatidae. The record is from the annotation of a GenBank genome assembly.